CCUUGUUUAGUUGGGGAAUUUGGAAGGUGCCAAAUUACUGUUACAGCACUGUAGCACACUGUAGCGUUUCGUUUGUAUUUGUGAAUUAUUGUCCAAAUAUUGACUAAUUAGGCUCAAAAGAUUCGUCUCGCAAAGUACAACAAAACUGUGCAAUUAGUUUUUAAUUUCAUCUACAUUUAGUACUCCAUGCAUGUACCGCAAGUUUGAUGUGAUGGGGAAUCUUCUUUUUGCAUAGUGUCAAAGUUGGGAGUUGGGAGUAACUAA
Molecule: long non-coding RNA, 264 nt
Filed under: Setaria italica (foxtail millet)
Lineage: Eukaryota; Viridiplantae; Streptophyta; Magnoliopsida; Poales; Poaceae
Description: long non-coding RNA (SITA_LNC004236)
Source: RNAcentral